GCCGCUGUGGUCAAGUGGCUAAAAAUUUUGCCAUUCACGUAAACGUUCGCUGGUUCAAUCCCUGCGGUGAUA
This is a non-coding RNA of Caenorhabditis elegans, 72 nucleotides long. NCBI's taxonomy places the organism in Eukaryota, Metazoa, Nematoda, Chromadorea, Rhabditida, Rhabditidae. The record is from the annotation of a RefSeq genome assembly.